CAGCCGCACGGUAAUACGUAGGUGGCAAGCGUUGUCCGGAAUUAUUGGGCGUAAAGCGCGCGCAGGUGGUUUAAUAAGUCUGAUGUGAAAGCCCACGGCUCAACCGUGGAGGGUCAUUGGAAACUGUUAAACUUGAGUGCAGGAGAGAAAAGUGGAAUUCCUAGUGCAGCGGUGAAAUGCGUAGAGAUUAGGAGGAACACCAGUGGCGAAGGCGGCUUUUUGGCCUGUAACUGACACUGAGGCGCGAAAGCGUGGGGAGCAAACAGGAUUAGAGACCCGAGUAGUCCCUGUCUCUUAUACA
This 301-nucleotide ribosomal RNA is filed under the name uncultured bacterium. Its description in RNAcentral is "partial 16S ribosomal RNA". It matches the Rfam family "Bacterial small subunit ribosomal RNA", at positions 512 to 808 of the family's 1533-position model. The record is from RNAcentral.